Tachysurus fulvidraco (yellow catfish) is the source of this 1260-nucleotide long non-coding RNA. RefSeq lists it as uncharacterized. The transcript has 4 exons. The record is from RefSeq and is a predicted model, not a curated record. Lineage: Eukaryota; Metazoa; Chordata; Actinopteri; Siluriformes; Bagridae.
ACAGCAUGAGCAUGAGGGUUCGAGCGUGAGGGUUCGAGCGUGAGGGUUCGAGCGUGAGGGUUCGAGCGUGAGGGUUCGAGCGUGAGGGUUCGAGCGUGAGGGUUCGAGCGUGAGAGUUCGAGCGUGAGGGUUCGAGCGUGAGGGUUCGAGUGUGAGGGUUCGAGCGUGAGAGUUGGAGCGUGAGGGUUCGGGCGUGAGAGUUCGAGUGUGAGGGUUCGAGCGUGAGGGUUCGAGCGUGAGGGUUCGAGUGUGAGGGUUCGAGCGUGAGAGUUGGAGCGUGAGGGUUCGGGCGUGAGAGUUCGAGUGUGAGGGUUCGAGCGUGAGGGUUUGAAGGAUACAAAGGAAACGCAGCACUAAAAUGUAACUGUGAUGUAACAAAUUAACAGUAGUUUCUUUUCUGUAAUUAACCGUUAUAGGAGGCGGAGCUUUGAUGAAGUAAUUCCCACAGGAAUAUUUCCUAAUAAAUCUCCAUGUGAACUCCAGCACAUGUGUGUGUUAAUAUACAGAGCUCUUGUUAUAAUUAAGGUUUUGUCAGAAGUAUAUGAACAUUUAGGUUCAGAUGGAAUAACACUGGAUCCCUAAAGAGCUGUUUUUACUCAGAAACAAGGAAUAAAUACUAAUUACCAAAAUAUGUUGUGAACUCUGCCUGAGUCUGCAAAAUCUUUUCAUUAUAUUAAAGAAGCUCGUCAACAAAAACAUCUGGAAAUGUGACUCGUUCACAGCAUCAGCUCUACUCCACACAGCAUCACACACUCCUCAGGGUUCUUCAUAUUCACAUUCUCGUCUUCGCCUCACUGAUCAACAGGUGCUGCGCUAACAGAGAAAUGUGUUGCUAUGGGAACUGGCUCAAAGAGAAAAGCGUGGAACAAAGGACGAAACCACUGCGGACACAGAGGGGGGUUCUGCUUAAGCGUUUCGCGCCAAAACACGGAUAAACUCGGAUUACAUGAGAUUAAAGAUCGGUGAUUAUCGCCCCGCCCAUACGGAGAGUCGCGGCGCUCUGUUACUAUGGAGACGGACGUCCUCGUGCAGUGUGUAACGGCACAGAGUUCGGGUAAAACCUAUCGGGUGUGACGUCAUCGUCGUUUUUCAACAAUAUGUUUUUUAGAAAACAUCAAUAUAUAUAAAUAUAAUGUAAAUCCCUGCACAAUGCACGUGUUCACAUGCUGUGCUAUUUUAUAUGCUGCCUAAAGCAUACACACACACACACACACACACACACACACACACAUACACACACACACACACUCACACACACAC